GCUGGGUGUGGUGGCUCAUGCCUGUAAUCCCAGCACUUUGGGAGGCAGAGACAAGAGGAUCACUUGAGCCCAGGACUUCGAGACCAGCCUGGGCAACAUAGUGAGACCCUGUCUCUA
Molecule: unclassified non-coding RNA, 117 nt
Organism: Callithrix jacchus (white-tufted-ear marmoset)
Lineage: Eukaryota; Metazoa; Chordata; Mammalia; Primates; Cebidae
Rfam family: Metazoan signal recognition particle RNA
About the family: The signal recognition particle (SRP) is a universally conserved ribonucleoprotein. It is involved in the co-translational targeting of proteins to membranes.
Source: Ensembl